GACGAACGCUGGCGGCGUGCUUAACACAUGCAAGUCGAACGGAAAGGCCCUGCUUUUGUGGGGUGCUCGAGUGGCGAACGGGUGAGUAACACGUGAGUAACCUGCCCUUGACUUUGGGAUAACUUCAGGAAACUGGGGCUAAUACCGGAUAGGAGCUCCUGCUGCAUGGUGGGGGUUGGAAAGUUUCGGCGGUUGGGGAUGGACUCGCGGCUUAUCAGCUUGUUGGUGGGGUAGUGGCUUACCAAGGCUUUGACGGGUAGCCGGCCUGAGAGGGUGACCGGCCACAUUGGGACUGAGAUACGGCCCAGAAUCCUACGGGAGGCAGCAGUGGGGAAUAUUGCGCAAUGGGCGGAAGCCUGAUGCAGCAACGCCGCGUGCGGGAUGACGGCCUUCGGGUUGUAAACCGCUUUCGCCUGUGACGAAGCGUGAGUGACGGUAAUGGGUAAAGAAGCACCGGCUAACUACGUG
RNAcentral lists this ribosomal RNA (468 nucleotides) under uncultured bacterium. Its description in RNAcentral is "partial 16S ribosomal RNA". It matches the Rfam family "Bacterial small subunit ribosomal RNA", at positions 28 to 507 of the family's 1533-position model. The record is from RNAcentral.